Molecule: ribosomal RNA, 960 nt
Filed under: Triticum aestivum (bread wheat)
Lineage: Eukaryota; Viridiplantae; Streptophyta; Magnoliopsida; Poales; Poaceae
Description: partial small subunit ribosomal RNA
Source: RNAcentral
AUGAUGAGGUUCGAGUCCGUAAUUGGCUUCGCGCUCAUAGUCGCCGGGCUCUGGCCGCUGCACGCGGCCGCGCAGAAGUACGCCGCUAUCUUCAACUUUGGCGACUCCCUCGCCGACGCCGGCAACCUCGUCGUGGAUGGCAUCCCGGAGUACCUCGCCACGGCGCGCCUACCGUAUGGCAUGACGUACUUCGGGUACCCGACGGGGCGCGUCUCCGAUGGCGGCCUCGUCGUCGACUUCAUCGCGCAGGAGCUGGGUCUGCCUCUGCUGCCGCCGUCCAAGGCGCACAACGCGUCGUUCCACCGUGGUGCCAAUUUCGCGAUCACCGGCGGCACGUCGCUGGACACGAGCUUCUUUGAGGCGCGUGGGAUGAGGCACACGGUCUGGAACUCCGGCUCCCUGCACACCCAGCUCAAGUGGUUUCAAGACAUGAAGCCAUCCAUCUGCAACUCGCCAGAAGAGUGCAGGGACCUGUUCCGGCGGUCGCUGUUCAUCGUCGGCGAGUUUGGCGGGAACGAUUACGCGGCGGCGCUCGGCGCGUUCCUCCCGGUUCAGAAGGUGCACACGUUCGUGCCGCACAUCGUCGACUCCAUCGGCAAGGGAAUCGAGAAGCUGAUCGCGGAGGGGGCGGUGGAGCUGGUUGUGCCGGGCGUGCUGCCGAUCGGCUGCUUCCCCGUGUACCUGUCCAUCUUCCUCAAGCAGCAGCCGGAGAUGUACGGCCCACGCAGCGGCUGCAUCAAGGACCUUAACACGCUGUCCUGGGUGCACAACGCCCUGCUGCAGCGGAAGAUCGCCGGGCUCCGGAAGAAACACCCCAGCGUGCGCAUCAUGUACGCGGACUACUACACCGCCGUCACGCAGUUCGUCCUGCACGCCGAGAAGUGGGCUCAUUUGUGGAGGUUGUGGAGGCAGAGGUGGAGGUUGUGGCGGUGGUGGAGGUGGAGGUGGUGGUGGAGGUGA